UUUUUGACGAAUUUAAAGUAAAAACAAACAGAUUUAAAGACUCUAAACAACUUUGGACGAAAUUGGGUGUUUUAAUGGGUGAAUGGCUAGCUAGAGGGUCCUUCUCCACACAUGACACAUAUGCAUAUAAAUCGAUUUCCAGUUAUUAUUCCUAUAAACCAUGAAUGAUAAUGCCCCAAAUUAAUCAUGAGAAGCACAAAUUAACUUUCAGAUUUUCCUAAAUUCAUUGAAUUGGACUCAGCGACGCAAUCAAAUUAUUCUUAUCAAGUUCCCUAUAUGAACUGCAUGAUAGAGAUACAUAUCAAAGAUCAUUAAGUUCUAUGAAAAUCAUAAGCAUUGACAUGACAUUCGUAACUAUGAACUGCAUGAUACUCCUGCCAGGAAUUUACUUAACUCAAUCGUGACUAGCGACUUCCACUACUUAUAAAUAUAAGUUC
RNAcentral lists this long non-coding RNA (437 nucleotides) under Malus domestica (apple). Its description in RNAcentral is "long non-coding RNA (MDOM_LNC004280)". The record is from RNAcentral. Lineage: Eukaryota; Viridiplantae; Streptophyta; Magnoliopsida; Rosales; Rosaceae.